This 255-nucleotide ribosomal RNA is filed under the name uncultured bacterium. RNAcentral's name for it is "partial 16S ribosomal RNA". It matches the Rfam family "Bacterial small subunit ribosomal RNA", at positions 524 to 776 of the family's 1533-position model. The record is from RNAcentral.
UACGGAGGGUGCGAGCGUUGUCCGGAGUGACUGGGCGUAAAGAGUUGCGUAGGCGGCUUAUUAUGUGGAUAGUGAAAGCUGGUGGCUCAACCAUUCAGUCUAUUAUCCAAACUGGUAAGCUCGAGAAUGGUAGAGGUAGUUGGAAUUUCUUGUGUAGGAGUGAAAUCCGUAGAUAUAAGAAGGAACACCAAUGGCGUAGGCAGACUACUGGACCAUUUCUGACGCUGAGGCACGAAAGCGUGGGGAGCGAACCGG